UAGCAAAAGAUCUAUGAUACUAAAUCACCUCUAGGAUCACAACCCAGUAUUCUUACACUAUUAAACUACUUUGCA
Molecule: transfer RNA, 75 nt
Filed under: Potamilus alatus
Lineage: Eukaryota; Metazoa; Mollusca; Bivalvia; Unionida; Unionidae
Description: tRNA-His
Source: RNAcentral